GAGCAUCCUCGGAUUUUUGGUAUCUGCAAGGGUUCUGAAACCAAUCCCCCACAGAUAUUGAGGGAUGAGUGUACACCCUUGUGAUAAACUGACUAGAGAGCUCAUUGCAACUUCUUUGCCUCCUCCAAAUCCAACUUAAUUGUUUUCUUAUCUGGUGGCUUCCAACCUCAAAAAGGCUUUUAUCCUUUUCUAAACAAGUUAAUUUAAAUUAAGUUUAGUAGGAAUUUGAGUUUGUUUUCAAGUGUAUGGUACAGUGGCAGGUAUCUGAGCCCUCAGUUAAAGUUUGACCUAUUUAACCCAGCAACUCUUUUAUAGUUAUGGACAAACUAUUUCCAUCUCUAGCCUCUGUUCUUAUGUAAAAUGACCCCUUCCUCUGUGAAACCUCCAGUUAAUUACCAUUUCAUAUUAGCCCACUUAAUAAAGAGAAUUAAAUCAUUUUAAAA
This 443-nucleotide long non-coding RNA is filed under the name Homo sapiens (human). RNAcentral's name for it is "novel transcript, sense intronic to OVCH2". The record is from RNAcentral. Lineage: Eukaryota; Metazoa; Chordata; Mammalia; Primates; Hominidae.